This 491-nucleotide ribosomal RNA is filed under the name uncultured bacterium. Its description in RNAcentral is "partial 16S ribosomal RNA". It matches the Rfam family "Bacterial small subunit ribosomal RNA", at positions 28 to 507 of the family's 1533-position model. The record is from RNAcentral.
GAUGAACGCUAGCGAUAGGCUUAACACAUGCAAGUCGAGGGGUAACGUGUUGGAAGCUUGCUUCCGAUGACGACGACCGGCGGAUGGGUGCGUAACGCGUAUGCAACUUGCCUCACAGUGGAGAAUAACCCGGAGAAAUCCGGACUAAUACUCCAUACACUCUUAAGUACGCCUGUACAUGAGAGGAAAGAUUUAUCGCUGUGAGAUAGGCAUGCGUCCUAUUAGGUAGUUGGUGAGGUAACGGCUCACCAAGCCGACGAUAGGUAGGGGUGCUGAGAGGCAGAUCCCCCACAUUGGGACUGAGACACGGCCCAAACUCCUACGGGCGGCAGCAGUGAGGAAUAUUGGUCAAUGGAGGAAUCUCUGAACCAGCCGAGUCGCGUUAAGGAAGAAUGUCCUAAGGAUUGUAAACUUCUUUAGCGAGCGAGUAAGGACUUCCACGUGAUGGGAGUUUGAAAGUAGCUCGAGAAUAAGUAUCGGCUAACUCCGUG